UAGCAGUUCUGGAUGAUGAGACGAGUCCGUCGAUAGAUAGCCUGAUUUGAUUAGGAACAAAAUAGCGAUGGAAACCUAUCUUUGUUGGGCAAUUACAACCAAAGCAGCUAUUAAACCCUAUUUUAUAAAAAAAAGUGCUUAUCCCAAAACCCACUUCCUUCUGCGUAUCAAGAAACCCGGCAGCUAAGCCAAACGAACCGGCGAUGAUCAUCACCGCUCUCCCUUAAUUCUUCUUUUCUGGUGUCCAAAGCACUAUUGGCAUUUAGUAAAAUACACAUUUAUAAUGGAUUUAAAAUCUAAAGGUAUAGCCUGGGUUGGCAACAUUUACCAGAGGAUUGAAACAAUAUGCCAUGAAGUGGAUAACAUUGUGAACCAGGAUACUGUUAGAUAUGUUGAAAACCAGGUGCACACAAUGGGUGAGAACAUGAAAAAAUUUUAUUCUGAUGUUCAAGACUUAAUUCCACCUAUAGUGGAUCCAGUAAGAUGUGAAGCUCAAGUGGUGGCUCUAAAAGCAAAUGCUGCUGUUAGUACCUAUAUUAAAUCAAGUAUUGGUGUUGAGGAAGAUCAUGGGCAUACAAUUCCUAUAAAGCAGUCACUUCUUGAGCCCAGUGAUUUUGAUAAUGUGGAGAAUCAGCCUGGUAAUGAGCUUAGUGAACACCACUUUGUAAAUCAGUCAGAUACUCCUACUUCUGGGGAAUCCCUUGAGGGGGCAGAAUCUGACUCAGCUCCAGGAAAAAUUGAUGAUGUUUCACCCAGCAAUGAGCUUAGUGGACACGACCUUGUGAAUCAAUCUAAUUCUCCAACUUCUGAGGAGUCACUUUGCGGAGCAGAAUCUGACUCAGCUCCUGUAAAAGUUAAUGAGGUUUCAACCAUUAAUGAGCUUAGUGUACACCACCUCGUAACUCAAUCAAAUACUUCAAUUUCUGGGGAAUCCAUUGAGGGGGCACAAUUUGACUCAGCUCCAACAAAGAUCGAUGAUAUUUCAACAAAUGGGAACUCUGAUUUUAGCACGAAAGAAAUUGCAAUAAAGGAUAAGUCUAAUGCACCUGAGGCUUUUGAGUCAAUUGCUCCUCAUGAGAAAGAAUCAUUUAAUGCAUCACUGUCUAGUGAAUUCACCAGUUAUAGUGAUGAAAAUAUGCGUGUUUCUAUGUCUGAAUUUUCACCUGCAUCUUCAUUGCGUGGAGAGGAGUUUCAGUCCCCUCAAAAGGUGGAAGAGGUUUGUUACAUCUCUGCAGCUGCAGAUGACUCCGACUCUCUGUCUGAUGUUUCAAGUGCUGUUGCUCUUUCUGAAAUGGCUGUUUCAGUUGCCUCCUCCUGUGGUUCCAUAUUCACAGAACCUCGUACACUUCCUGAGAAUUCAUUUAAUGAUGUCCUUACAAAAGUGGUAUCUUAUGGUAACUCUGCUAUUAUGGGUGGCCAUUAUUCUGAUAGUUCCAAUGUACUCUCGUCUUCUAUGUCUGCUUCAGUUAUAUCCAGUCAUAGAGAGGUAGUGGCAGGACAUACUUGCUCUAGCAGUGUCCUGUCAUUGGAAUCAACAGCGUGCUCCAAUUACUCCAGUAAUUUUAGUGAUGGUAUAACAGACUCUGGAAUGGAAACCAUUGAUUUGUCUGACAAGGUGAAGCUUGAUGACAGCUGUGUCUUUGUGGACAAUAGUAUGCUUUAUGAAGUCUCUCGUAGAAGCCGCAAACUCAGAUCAUUCAAGAAAAAACUCCAGGAUGCCUUUACUUCCAAGAAGAGGUUAAGCAAGGAGUAUGAGCAGCUAGCAAUUUGGUAUGGGGACCCUGAUAUAGAGGCCAGCGAAGAUACACUGCAUGAUCAGUUGCAAUCUAGCUCCACUGUAACCUUGGACGCUGAUUGCCAAAUACAUCAUAUCAAUGACUCUGAGUGGGAGCUCUUGUAAAUAACUCAAGAAGUCGAAUGUUGAUAACCACCACUGGUUGGGCAGCCUAUUGUUCAAGGAACUCCUGGUAAACACCAGUGGAUACAAUCGGCAAAUUUUUUUGGAUCAGAUCUUUGUUCCUUUGUCAAGAGCUUUCCCUUUCGUUCCCCAUAAAUUGUUGUAUGAGCAUCUUUCCUGUACUCUGACAACUGGGUAACAUUCAAAAAUGUCACAUCGAUUUUUAAUUCCUGCAAGACGUCACCAACUAUCUUCAUGAUCUGGAGAUUUGAACCUGUUCCCCAAUAUGGUCCUUUAAUUGGGUAGGAUUCAUUGAAGCAGUUUUCAUCGCUUCCAGGUUUCCAUUCCCAGCUCCUACAAUAGAAUGUAUGUUAUGACAUAAAUUUAUUACAUUUAUGCAAAUGUCUGUCCCUCAAAUUAGGAAACCAUGCAAAAUGUUUAGUAUACUCACCACAAGUGUGUUGGAGACAUGCUCAUGAAGAACACCUUCUGCUUGCGAGAGUCAAUAUUGGAUUCUAACCAAUUUGCCCAA
RNA transcript from Hevea brasiliensis (rubber tree), 2429 nucleotides. RefSeq lists it as uncharacterized. Lineage: Eukaryota; Viridiplantae; Streptophyta; Magnoliopsida; Malpighiales; Euphorbiaceae. The record is from RefSeq and is a predicted model, not a curated record. The transcript has 6 exons.